UACAGAGGGUGCAAGCGUUGUUCGGAAUUACUGGGCGUAAAGCGCGCGCAGGCGGGUCUUUAAGUCAGGGGUGAAAUCCUGGAGCUCAACUCCAGAACUGCCUUUGAUACUGAAGAUCUUGAGUUCGGGAGAGGUGAGUGGAACUGCGAGUGUAGAGGUGAAAUUCGUAGAUAUUCGCAAGAACACCAGUGGCGAAGGCGGCUCACUGGCCCGAUACUGACGCUGAGGCACGAAAGCGUGGGGAGCAAACAGG
RNAcentral lists this ribosomal RNA (253 nucleotides) under uncultured bacterium. RNAcentral's name for it is "partial 16S ribosomal RNA". It matches the Rfam family "Bacterial small subunit ribosomal RNA", at positions 524 to 776 of the family's 1533-position model. The record is from RNAcentral.